GACGAACGCUGGCGGCGUGCUUAACACAUGCAAGUCGAACGGAAAGGCCCUGCUUUUGGGGUGUUCUCGAGUGGCGAACGGGUGAGUAACACGUGAGUAACCUGCCCUUGACUUUGGGAUAACUUCAGGACACUGUGGCUAAUCCCGGAUAGGCGCUCCUGCUGCAUGGUGGUGGUUGGAAAGUUUCGGCGGGUGGGGAUGGACUGGCGGCUUAUCAGCUUGUUGGUGGGGUAGUGGCUUACCAAGGCUUUGACGGGUAGCCGGCCUGAGAGGGUGACCGGCCACAUUGGGACUGAGAUACGGCCCAGACUCCUACGGGAGGAAGCAGUGGGGAAUAUUGCACAAUGGGCGGAAGCCUGAUGCAGCAACGCCGCGUGCGGGAUGACGGCCUUCGGGUUGUAAACCGCUUCCGCAUGUGCCGAAGCGUGAGUGACGGUAAUGGGUAAAGAAGCACCGGCUAACUACGUG
This 468-nucleotide ribosomal RNA is filed under the name uncultured bacterium. Its description in RNAcentral is "partial 16S ribosomal RNA". It matches the Rfam family "Bacterial small subunit ribosomal RNA", at positions 28 to 507 of the family's 1533-position model. The record is from RNAcentral.